AACAUUCUCUAUUUUUUUUGUUUUUAUAUACAAGUAUAGAUGUUUCAGGCUUUUGCUUUGUUGUUGAAAAGACCAUACUUUUUGUUUUAUUUAUGUUUAGAGAAAGCUGCCCAGUUUUCACAAAACAUGGAAACUUUAUUUAGACUAUUUUGGAGACCCUCCUUAGAUUCUGAUAGUAAAAGCAGAUCAUCAGCAAACAGGAGGGAGCC
RNAcentral lists this long non-coding RNA (209 nucleotides) under Mytilus galloprovincialis (Mediterranean mussel). Lineage: Eukaryota; Metazoa; Mollusca; Bivalvia; Mytilida; Mytilidae. The record is from RNAcentral.